CCCUUAGAUGUUCUGGGCUGCACGCGUGCUACACUGAUAUUGCCAAUAUGUCAUUCUUAUCCGAAAUGGAUUGGGUAAUCAAGUAAUGAAAUUUCAUGCUUGGAAUCGGUAAUUGCAAUUUUAUCGUGAACGAGGAAUUCCUAGUAAGCACUAGUCAUCAGCUAAUGUUGAUUAUGUCCCUGCCCUUUGUACACACCGCCCGUCGCUACUACUGAUUGGGUGUUCAAGUGAGAUGCUUAGACCUUUGUUGCAUGGUUCAUUAUUGUGCUCCGAAAGGAAAAAGUUUCAAGCUUGAGUGUCUAGAGGAAGUAAAAGUCGUAACA
RNAcentral lists this ribosomal RNA (323 nucleotides) under uncultured eukaryote. RNAcentral describes it as "partial 18S ribosomal RNA". It matches the Rfam family "Eukaryotic small subunit ribosomal RNA", at positions 1470 to 1796 of the family's 1831-position model. The record is from RNAcentral.